Molecule: long non-coding RNA, 589 nt
Organism: Onychostoma macrolepis
Lineage: Eukaryota; Metazoa; Chordata; Actinopteri; Cypriniformes; Cyprinidae
Exons: 3
Source: RefSeq, a predicted model, not a curated record
UCUCCGGUAACCGGGACUCACAGCUGCUCCGGGGCUGAGAGGAGGAGGAGGAGAGCCGGUGAGGAGGGGUCUCUCCUCAGAUCAUGACAUUAGCACAGAUCACCCCUGCACCUGACAGAAACCCUCACCGUGAGCGAACCGAGGAUCUUACCGGGGUUACAGACCGCUGCGAUUCAAGCGGACAAAUCCACAGAAAGCGCGUCUCGUGCGCGUGAAGAAAGUGAAAGUGAGCAUGUCGUCUCCCACAGAGAUCUGCAGGCAAAUGGUCAGGUGGAGAGGCUCAACGAAGAGUGGACGGAUUCUUCAGUCUUACUGUAGUAGAGAACACCAUCGAUGGAGCUCUUCCAUGGACUAAGGAACUCUAUGAGAUCCCUGCAGUGGACGACUGGAUCAAGAGGAAUGAAAGGUGUGUGGGACAGUACUCAACUCAGGUUGCAAUGAGCUGUUAGGAAACAAAAGAUUCAAGGAGAUCAAAAGGAGAAGGCCACACCCUCACUACCUGCAAGGCGAGAUGGUCUAGGUUUCCACUCAAGAUCAGUAGCUACCUACCAAGGUAGGACCUUACACUGUAGGACCUUACAAGACAAGU